This 209-nucleotide long non-coding RNA is filed under the name Theobroma cacao (cacao). RNAcentral's name for it is "long non-coding RNA (TCAC_LNC004306)". Lineage: Eukaryota; Viridiplantae; Streptophyta; Magnoliopsida; Malvales; Malvaceae. The record is from RNAcentral.
AAAAUCAGAUAAAAAAAAAACUACCAGCCGACUACUUAGCCACAAUAAAAAAAUCACAACCAAAAAAAGAAACCAAAACACUCAAAGAAAACCAAAAAUGAGAAAUGGGUUUUUUGGGUUUUGAGAGAGAGUAGGAGAAGGCUGAAAGUUUGAGGGAGAAAAAGGAAGAUCUGAAAAAGAAACGAGAAUAGAGAAGAAGGAGAGGGGAA